GGGUUGGUAGCUCAGUGGUAGAGCGCUUGCCUAGGAAGCGCAAGGCCCUGGGUUCGGUCCCCAGCUCCG
This 69-nucleotide transfer RNA is filed under the name Rattus norvegicus (Norway rat). It matches the Rfam family "tRNA". From Rfam's summary of the family: Transfer RNA (tRNA) molecules are approximately 80 nucleotides in length. Their secondary structure includes four short double-helical elements and three loops (D, anti-codon, and T loops). The record is from Rfam by way of RNAcentral. Lineage: Eukaryota; Metazoa; Chordata; Mammalia; Rodentia; Muridae.